Molecule: long non-coding RNA, 1627 nt
Organism: Vidua chalybeata
Lineage: Eukaryota; Metazoa; Chordata; Aves; Passeriformes; Viduidae
Exons: 2
Source: RefSeq, a predicted model, not a curated record
CCCAGCUCCUCCCAACCCCAUCUCACUCUGGAGGCUCUGGAAUCGAGAGAGUUUGGCAAGGGAUAGAGGUUUUUGAGGUGGGAACAAACAAUUUGAGGUGGGAUUGUGUUUUAUGGCUUAAAAUACAGUUGUUUUCAGUAGCAUGUGAGUGGUUUUGAGGUGAAAGAUGGAUCCCUCUUGGCUUUUGGAGUGCAGAGGGAUGGAGAAGAGAAAAAAAUUAAGGUGAACACAAAAGGAAAAGCAGCCAGCUGUGUUCCCAACAUGGAUGACAGGGAAUGUGGGUGACCAGGGCUGUGCCCAGUGUGGGUCCUGUAGUGGGGGAUGGAGUUUUGCUCUUCUCACACUCGGGGCACUCACAGGGCUUCCCUUACCGGUGCCUCCGUUGGUGUUGGGCCCAGGUAGAGCUCUGUGAGAAGCUCUUCCCACACUGGGGACACUCGUAGGGCCUCUCCCCGGAGAGGAGAGCGGGUGAUGAGGUGGGAGUUCCUCCUGAAUCCCUUCCCGCAGUCAGGGCAGCAGAAGGGCCUCUCCUCUGUGUGAACCCGAUAGUGCUUGAGGAGAUCGGAGCUGGUCUGAAACCUCUUCCCACACUUGGAACACUUGUAGGGCCGUUCCCCAGUGUGGAUCUACUGGUGGCUGACCAGGUUGGAGCUCUGGCUGAAGCUCGUCCCACACUCCCCACACUUGCAGGGCCUCUCCUCAUUGUGGAUCCUCUGGUGCACGAUCAGCUGGGAGCUGUACCUGAAGCUCUUCCCACACUCUGAGCACUUGUGGGGCUUCUCCCCAUCCUGGAGCUGCUCAUGGACCACCAGCUCCGAGCUCUGGCUCGAUUUCCGGCCGCCUCCCUAGCCCAGGGUGGUUCUUUCCUCCUCAGAUCCCCGUGAUCUGUUUUUGCAGCCCCUCCUCGUGUGGCAUCUCCAGGGCUUUUCCCCCCCGUUGGGUUCCUGCACCGUGGAGCCGCUCAAAACGGCCUCUUCCACGAGGUUCUGCCGCGGGGAUUUGUCCUCCCUGCUCUCCAUCCUGUGCUCCUGUUCUGGGCUGCUCAGGGAUGGGUUUGGCCCGUGUCCCUCGAAGCAGCGACUGCCCAAGCAGCUGCGCUGGCCCCGGGCUCUCCUCCCGGCCUGCUGGGCUUUGUUGGGUGGCACAGCCUGUGCCAAGGGGCGGCAAGGGGCCUGCAGGCCCCAGCUCUGGGGGAAACAGAGAACGUCCUGGCCGUGUCCACCGUGCUGCCAGCUCGGCAGUGCAGCACAGCACGGGCUCACGCUCCCUUUUGCUCCCACAGAAGAGCUUGGCAAGUCACACAUAAAUGCCAGGAAUCCUUUGAGCACCCCAAGAAUUGUCUGCCCCCAGGAUGUGCGCAGGUCCUGCAUGAUAAGCACGGUAGUGACACUGUUCACUGUGCCAUUUCUAUGGUCCUGUGCUAUGUGGGGUUCCAGUAGUGGAAGGAAAAGAAACAUGCUUUUUUCAGUUAUUUGAGAUAGUGAAUGAUGGCUGGACCAUCGAGGAUCUCAUCUCGACGGUGGUAGCUCUAUUCCCCUUCCUCUCUUUUCUCUCUAUUUCCCUUUUCUGUCCCUUCUAUUGCAUUUGCUGUUGGUACCUAAAUAAAGAUGCAUUUGUUGUGAUUAAA